This 738-nucleotide ribosomal RNA is filed under the name uncultured Prochlorococcus sp. RNAcentral's name for it is "eukaryotic LSU rRNA". Lineage: Bacteria; Bacillati; Cyanobacteriota; Cyanophyceae; Synechococcales; Prochlorococcaceae. The record is from RNAcentral.
AACAUCGAACUGGUAAAUUAGAGAUAUUUCGAUUACGAAAUUCGUGAAAAAAGAAUUAAAAUUCGAUUUAUUAACCCGAUGAAUAAAAUAUCUAUUAGAUAUUUUAAGUGGAUUUCUUAUUUUAAUUCUUAGUUUGAGAAUAACGAUUUUUACGUUAUUUUCUCUUAAUAUCUCAGAGCCGAGAACGAGUUCUUAAUUUGUAGCAGUAAAUUUUGUUAAAUCAAAAGGAUUAAUUAUUUUUUUGUUUUUAAACUAAGUUUUUUGUUACGUAGGUACUCUACGAAAUAAAAAAAGGUCUGAGUGGAUACGUCAACAGUUCCAAGAUGACUUGAAGAGACGUUAAAGAAAACGUCCCUACUCGGGUCGCAGGAUAGUUAGUUUGAUUUUUCAAUAAUCUAGAUAACUGUUCUUCGAUCCAAGGUAAGUAAAUUCUUGUUUAAGAUCUAGUGUAUUUUCAGAGGAAAUCGAAGCAAUAGUCCUCCAGCUAGUCACCUCCAUUCGCCUGAGCUUGGCGACUGUAGGACGAACGUUUCGACCGCGAGAUGGUUGACUCGAUAUGGGGGUUGUGGCUUACCCGGUAGGACCUGAACUUGGUCCCUGGAGUGGGAAUAGUCCCCACGCGAGAUUGGUGGACUCGAUUACCGGGUCCUCAUGGGAAAACUCUCCACACUGGAUCUGUUUCAAAUCCUUGACUUAAACUGAAUUAAAGUUCUUUGAUUAAUCAAUUCAAGAAAACUU